This 253-nucleotide ribosomal RNA is filed under the name uncultured bacterium. RNAcentral describes it as "partial 16S ribosomal RNA". It matches the Rfam family "Bacterial small subunit ribosomal RNA", at positions 524 to 776 of the family's 1533-position model. The record is from RNAcentral.
UACGUAGGGUGCGAGCGUUAAUCGGAAUUACUGGGCGUAAAGCGUGCGCAGGCGGCGCGUUACGUCAGGUGUGAAAGCCUCGAGCUUAACUUGGGAAUUGCGCUUGUGACUGGCGUGCUGGAGUGUGGCAGAGGGAGGUGGAAUUCCACGUGUAGCAGUGAAAUGCGUAGAUAUCGGGAGGAACACCUGUGGCGAAAGCGGCGCACUGGACCACAACUGACGCUGAGGCGCGAAAGCUAGGGGAGCAAACAGG